UACGGAGGGGGCUAGCGUUGUUCGGAAUUACUGGGCGUAAAGCGCGCGCAGGCGGCUAUCCAAGUCAGUGGUGAAAGCCCGGAGCUCAACUCCGGAACUGCCAUUGAAACUGUUUAGCUUGAGGAUGAGAGAGGUGAGUGGAAUUCCCAGUGUAGAGGUGAAAUUCGUAGAUAUUGGGAAGAACACCGGUGGCGAAGGCGGCUCACUGGCUCAUUACUGACGCUCAGGCGCGAUAGCGUGGGGAUCAAACAGG
This 253-nucleotide ribosomal RNA is filed under the name uncultured bacterium. RNAcentral describes it as "partial 16S ribosomal RNA". It matches the Rfam family "Bacterial small subunit ribosomal RNA", at positions 524 to 776 of the family's 1533-position model. The record is from RNAcentral.